RNAcentral lists this ribosomal RNA (253 nucleotides) under uncultured bacterium. RNAcentral describes it as "partial 16S ribosomal RNA". It matches the Rfam family "Bacterial small subunit ribosomal RNA", at positions 524 to 776 of the family's 1533-position model. The record is from RNAcentral.
UACGGGGGGAGCAAGCGUUGUUCGGAUUUACUGGGCGUAAAGGGCGCGUAGGCGGCGCAACAAGUCACUUGUGAAAUCUCCGGGCUUAACCCGGAGCGGCCAAGUGAUACUGUCGUGCUAGAGUGCAGAAGGGGCUACUGGAAUUCUCGGUGUAGCGGUGAAAUGCGUAGAUAUCGAGAGGAACACCUGCGGCGAAGGCGGGUAGCUGGGCCGACACUGACGCUGAGGCGCGAAAGCCAGGGGAGCGAACGGG